GUUUUAAUAGUUUAAAUAAAAAUCAUUGAUCUUGUAAAUCAAAGAUAAAUAAAAUUAUUUUUAAAAUU
This 68-nucleotide transfer RNA is filed under the name Trichosia lengersdorfi. RNAcentral's name for it is "tRNA-Thr". The record is from RNAcentral. Lineage: Eukaryota; Metazoa; Arthropoda; Insecta; Diptera; Sciaridae.